AGUGAACGCUGGCGGUAGGCCUAACACAUGCAAGUCGAACGGCAGCACAGUAAGAGCUUGCUCUUACGGGUGGCGAGUGGCGGACGGGUGAGGAAUACAUCGGAAUCUACUUUUUCGUGGGGGAUAACGUAGGGAAACUUACGCUAAUACCGCAUACGACCUACGGGUGAAAGCAGGGGAUCUUCGGACCUUGCGCGAUCGAAUGAGCCGGUGUCGGAUUAGCUAGUUGGUGGGGUAAAGGCCCACCAAGGCGACGAUGCGUAGCUGGUCUGAGAGGAUGAGCGGCGCCACGGGAGCGGAGACACGGUCAAGACUCCGAAGGGAGGCAGAAGAAGGGGGACUAGCGGACAAGGGGAGAGCGUGAGGUAGAAACACAGCGUGAGUGAGAAAAGUCUUCGGAUCGUAAAACGCUGUUAUUAGGGAAAAAAAAAUGUGUAAGUAACUAUGCACGUCUUGACGGUACCUACUCAGAAAGACACGGCUAAAUACGUG
RNAcentral lists this ribosomal RNA (492 nucleotides) under uncultured bacterium. Its description in RNAcentral is "partial 16S ribosomal RNA". It matches the Rfam family "Bacterial small subunit ribosomal RNA", at positions 29 to 507 of the family's 1533-position model. The record is from RNAcentral.